Molecule: ribosomal RNA, 253 nt
Filed under: uncultured bacterium
Lineage: Bacteria
Description: partial 16S ribosomal RNA
Rfam family: Bacterial small subunit ribosomal RNA
Source: RNAcentral
UACGAAGGGGGCUAGCGUUGCUCGGAAUCACUGGGCGUAAAGCGCACGUAGGCGGCUUUCUAAGUCAGGGGUGAAAUCCUGGAGCUCAACUCCAGAACUGCCUUUGAUACUGGAGAGCUCGAGUCCGGAAGAGGUGAGUGGAACUCCGAGUGUAGAGGUGAAAUUCGUAGAUAUUCGGAAGAACACCAGUGGCGAAGGCGGCUCACUGGUCCGGUACUGACGCUGAGGUACGAAAGCGUGGGGAGCGAACAGG